Molecule: ribosomal RNA, 253 nt
Filed under: uncultured bacterium
Lineage: Bacteria
Description: partial 16S ribosomal RNA
Rfam family: Bacterial small subunit ribosomal RNA
Source: RNAcentral
UACGUAGGUGGCGAGCGUUGUCCGGAAUUACUGGGUGUAAAGGGCGUGUAGGCGGGUGGACAAGUAGGAUGUGAAAAACCAUGGCUUAACUGUGGGGCUGCAUCUGAAACUAUUCAUCUUGAGUGCUGGAGAGGGAAGCGGAAUUCCAAGUGUAGCGGUGAAAUGCGUAGAUAUUUGGAGGAACACCAGUGGCGAAGGCGGCUUUCUUGACAGUAAAUGACGCUGAGCCGCGAAAGCGUCGGGAGCAAGCAGG